UCCGUAAAUAAGUGAUGCGUUUUCUUAUAGGUGGUUUUCAUAUUAGCAUGUUCUCAGAUAGAGUAGCACGGUAUAUUUAAAAUUCACACACAAUAAAUCAUGUGCGUUACAAAAACAAAAUAUUGUUAGCAUAAAAAAAAGCCGAGUCCGGAACUUAAGAUAUAGCAAAAGUCGACAUUACAAAAGAAGAUCAGACAUUAACUUUUGUGCCCUAAACAACAUCGUAUCAAACGGAAAAAAAAAACAUCGUAUCAAACGGGACCAUGCAAAUAAUAAAAUAAACGAUCACAUUAUUAAACUAUUCAUCAACCGUUUGUAAUGAAUAGAAUAUCAACAACAAAUGGUUUGUCCCAUUUAAAGGGUUUAAGAAUUAUAUGAGCUCGCCAUGAAUAUGAGCUCCCAUUUAGUGGGUUUAAGCAAAUAAAAGAACGGUAGGGGUAUAAGAGGAAUUCUCCUGAAGAUAGCCAUUAAUAUUCUGUUAAAGUUCUUACAACUCUGCAAACUGGACAGGUGUUGUCUCGUCUCGUAUACGGAGAGAAGAAAACUUUCUAUUUUGUUUUUUUUCUAAAUGUAAAUCAUAAACUUGUGUUGAUGCAAAUCAGUAUUCUAUAUAUUCUUACUACGUGAGAGAGAACAAAGCACGAAAGAUCUGAGUCAUAGAAACUGAGAAAAUAGUCAUAAACACUGGGAAAAAAAAACAAGAAAGAUCUGAGUCAUAGACACUGAGAAAAAUGUAAGUUCUUUUAGAGAGAGAAAAUGCUUUAUAUAUUCAUAUAUAGUUUUCCAUAAGUGUGACUUCCGUUUACUUGUUCUUAACUCAUACAUGCUUCUUUCUUCAGAGCUACAAAUGGAUAAGAGAAAAAGAAAAAAAAUCGGUGAAGAUCCUCCAGCAGAUGUAAGUUUACGUUUCUUAAAACCCUUGAUCCAAAUCUGUUUUUGUUUCCAAAGCUACAACUAUUUUGAAAGCAAGGGUCAAUAUAUAAUAAGUUUGGUUUCUCUCUUAGUGGCGUAUACAAAUAAUAAAUCUUGUCACUUUUGAGUAUUUGAAUAACUACAUAAAAGAUCUCCUGGUACACCUUCUAAAGUAACUAUCUCCACGCUUUGAACAGGUAGCAAAGGAAGCACCUGAGACCAAGCAUGAACGAGAUCAAGGUAUAUCUGGAUCUUGAUUUUGAGUUUUUUUUUUCCAUAUAACUUUCGGGUUUGUUUUUGUUGCUUGAUGAAAUCCUCAAAUGUAAUCUCUGACAAAAAAAUGUUUCAUCGUCUGAGAUCUUUUGGUGGGUUUUUUUUGUUGCUGCAUCUAGGUGUUUAGGGCCGGUUGCUUUUGUUGUUGGAUAAACUCGUCAAAUAAACUCUGACAAAGAAAAAGCUUUGAUCUUUUUUAGCCUCUUGACUUGCUUAUGUUGUUGCAUAAAACAUUGAAGCAAUUUCUUUAUGUACAGUUUUAUUUUAUUGAUCAAAAAGUUGGGCUUUUUCUGUUAUUACGCAAGCCAAAAGAAAAAAAUGAGAUUUUUUUAACUUAGAUCAUUUUUGUUUUUGUUUUUAUUUUUUUAUUUUUUUUGAACACCAGAUCAUUUUUGUUAUAACCCAAAAAAGUAGACUAAUUUAUUUACUUAUUUCAAAUGAUUAGAUGCUAACCGAUCAUAUGGAGCCGGCGGCGGACACAAAAAAGGAGGAAAAAGACCAAAAACUGGAGAUGCUUCUACUACAAAAAGCACCCAUGUAAUAUUUUGAUACAUUAUAAAACCUAUUUUAUUUGUAUAAAAAUAUUCUAACAAAGAAAUAUGAUGUUAUUGCAGCGUUUGACGCCUUCGGAUGAUAACUAUCCCAAGGUUAGGUCCUUUUAUAUAAUUACUCUUAUUUGUACAAAUUUUAAUUUUUUCUUAUUUUGUCACUUAGCACAAUCUAAUCUUCUUCUUUUUCUUUUGUAGGAUUGUGGAGAUGAUAAAAUUUAUUGGAAAGAAUGGAGUGAGGUUGAUCGCGUUGUGAGGGAAGUCAGCAACCAAAAAUAUAAAGGUAAUUAUAAUGCAUUUUUUCAUAAUGCAUUUUACAUAUUGCAAAACUGGAUCGUGGAUGUACACUUAAAUUUCCUUGAUUAAACACACACAUAUAUAUAUAUAUAUAUAAACUCGUACAUAUGUAAUAUUUAUCUAUAUAUGUAUUUGUUUGUGUAAUCAAUACAUUUUCUAAUUUUAAUUAGGUUAGCAUCGAUAUUUCAUUUUUAACAUAUGGAAGCAUAAAAUCCUUUUUUUACUCGCCAGCCACAAACACCCAUUAUUUAUUUUUGUUUUAUCGACAGCAGCUUGCGAACCCGUACAAAGGAGUUAUAAUAUAUAUAUUAUUUUAUAUGUUUCCAUGGAUACUUUUCCUGCAUAAAUCAAAAGAAAAAGUUCUAAUAUUUUUAUUUUCUUGUAACUUAAAAAGUUCUAAUAUUUUACAUAUUAUUUUUGGCAGAUACAUGCUGGGCCCACGCGACCAAGAAAAAUAUAGAAGCACGGCUAAAGAUUCAAUUCAAUCUAGAUGUUUCGCUAUCUGUGGAUCAUCUUUAUCAUGGAAUUGCUAAAAAGAUGAGCACUGAUGCGAUCAAGAAUUUUGAUGAACUCAAGAAUUUUCUGAAGAAUGAAGGCAUCAUUCAAGAGAAAGAUUGUGAGUGUGAAAAGAGAACGAAUAAAAAAGAUCCAUGUUCUAAAAAAAUCGAGGUAAAAUCUAAAUAUAGUGACCGAGUGAUAAUUGUGCUCGUUAUUCAAAACAUAAUAUUAUUAAAUUUUUUACUGGUAGGCAAAAAAAGUAGGUGUUCUGAAGAUUGAAGAGUUCAUUACAACAAAAGUGGUCAGUGAAGAGGAAUUGAUACAGUUAGUUAAAGUUGCCCCUGUGAUGGUCAGCCUAUUGGCAACAGACGAUUUUUUAGCCCACAAAGGAGAGGGAAUAUUUUACGGAGAUAAACGGAGUAAAGAAAAAACUCAAGGCAAUCAUUUAGUUCUAGUUACUGGGUACAACAGUAUAGAUGGUCAGCACUACUGGAUCAUACAGAACACGUGGGGUGUUAAGUGGGGGGACAAAGGAUUUGCAAAAAUAGCUCGGAAAAUUAGCCGUGGUAAAGGCCAGCAGUCUCUAUUCUCAGAGAUUGUAUACCCCGUGGUAUGUUACAAAAAAAAAUUUAUAUAGUUUCAUUUAAAUAAAACAUAAUUCUAAAAGUAUAUGGUUUAUGUAACAGAUUUCAGGAGUUGGGGGCCUAGCAUGAGUCCAGUGUUAUCAGGUGUGGAAGGCACAACAAGUCAACAACCUUUAGUUUAGUAGAUUAUCAACUAUCAAGUAGUAUAUUUAAAAACGUUAUCUUUUUUCUUUUUUGAAAUUUUACUAGCAUGUUAUCAUUUGCAACUUUUGGAGGAUUUUAACAUAUUAUUAUCAAAUGGAUUGGUAACUUAAAUAAACCGUGUAUGGAUUUUUAACUAAAAUGAGCCCCUAAUGGAUUUUAACGGGUUACAGAAUAGUAAUGGGCAAAUGGUAGCCUAUCAAGUUUAUGAGUCAAAAAAGCUUGUUUGUUUGGAUUAUCCAUUGCGAUCAUUUGGUUGCGAUCCUAAGAAAGAAAUCCUUGGGGAGGGUUUAGAUGCAUAUUUGGAACAAGAGACCAAAAAACAUAUGGAUAAAGUUUUAAUAUUUUAGUAGUUGUCCCACAAAAGUCACACAUGAUACAGUUAUGAGGGCUUAAAAGAUAAAAGGGACAUAAUUCCCAAAAGUUAAAGAGGACUAUCUAAGA
This is a long non-coding RNA of Brassica napus (rape), 3757 nucleotides long. RefSeq lists it as uncharacterized. The transcript is spliced from 3 exons. The record is from RefSeq and is a predicted model, not a curated record. Lineage: Eukaryota; Viridiplantae; Streptophyta; Magnoliopsida; Brassicales; Brassicaceae.